GACGUAGGGGGCCAGCGUUGCUCGGAAUUACUGGGUGUAAAGGGUUCGUAGGCGGUGCGGCAAGUUGGGAGUGAAAUCUCUGGGCUCAACCCAGAGGCUGCUUCCAAAACUGCUGUGCUUGAGUGUGGGAGAGGCGCGUGGAAUUGCAGGUGUAGCGGUGAAAUGCGUAGAUAUCUGCAGGAACACCCGUGGCGAAAGCGGCGCGCUGGACCACAACUGACGCUGAGGAACGAAAGCUAGGGGAGCAAACAGG
Molecule: ribosomal RNA, 253 nt
Filed under: uncultured bacterium
Lineage: Bacteria
Also listed under: 1 other name
Description: partial 16S ribosomal RNA
Rfam family: Bacterial small subunit ribosomal RNA
Source: RNAcentral